This is a long non-coding RNA of Bombina bombina (fire-bellied toad), 591 nucleotides long. RefSeq lists it as uncharacterized. The transcript has 2 exons. Lineage: Eukaryota; Metazoa; Chordata; Amphibia; Anura; Bombinatoridae. The record is from RefSeq and is a predicted model, not a curated record.
CUUCUCCCUGCCUGACUAUACCACCUGUCUCAUACCCAGCCAUCUGCAACCUUCGGUCUCUCUGCUGAUUAAAAUGCCUGUGCUGCUAAUUUCUGCCCUGCAACAUCUGACAACUGCCCCAGUCACCUACACCUCUGCUUGACGCAUCGCUCUGGUGUUGCAUUGCUCACGACCCAGUAGACAGGCUUGCCGCGCUUGUAGACCACGGACUGAUUUUCAGGAAGGUUUAUGAAGCACAAACCACACUUCAGCUUUCCUUUUCAAUUAUCUAGAAUCUUCCAGUGUGACAAAUAGUUUCUGCAGGGUCACAGCAGAGGGAAGAGAGAAAUGGGCGAUGUUAGAUUAAUUUCCAGAGAAAGUAAUGAUGUCAAACUUUAUACAGCAUUUCCCUACUCUGCUGGGUUUGAAAGUACAUUUAAAAAAAAAGAAAAAAGUAUUUUGUACAGAACAAUUUUUACUUUUUCUCACAAUACAAAGAAUGUUUAACUUCCAUAUUAUUGUGACCCCCCCCCCCCCCUCCGUGGCAUCUUUAAAGGGAGAUGAAAAUUAAUCUUUUAUGAUUCAAAUAAAGCAUUUAUCUCUAUUAUCAAA